UUUACUGGUGGCUACUCUGACUUUUCAGGCUCAAGAAAGCCACACAUCUUAAUCUGACCAUUAUAUCAAUGUGUAGCCACUCGGCUACACGUAAGACUGAGAAGUCUUAUGGGGUCUUUUUUGCUCAAAGCCUUCUUAAAAUCCAUCUUUUAUUUUUGAGAGUUUAAAAACAGUCAUUUUUUCCAAUUCUGAAUUUCUGGUUAUUAUUUUCUUUCACUCCUGUAAACCAAACAAUAGUUUCCUAAACUCAUCUCUUCCUUGACUACAUUUGGCAAGGUAAUGCAAUUACAAUGAACACACACUACUAACAACUUCUUUUCUUAAACCUUCAAUCUUGGUAGAAACAUGAAAUGGCCUCCAAGUUGCCAAAGAUAGUCAUCCAAAACCUUGGAACAACUCUGAAGGUCCCUCAUAUGGAUUCCUUGCUUCCCAGCUCCCUUUACAACUGGAUGUGAAAGGUGCUGUCUUCUGUACUUUCUCUUGAGAGGCAGAAAGAAAUAAACAAUGGCUAAUUCUGACCUA
This is a long non-coding RNA of Homo sapiens (human), 522 nucleotides long. The record is from Ensembl. NCBI's taxonomy places the organism in Eukaryota, Metazoa, Chordata, Mammalia, Primates, Hominidae.